RNAcentral lists this long non-coding RNA (256 nucleotides) under Homo sapiens (human). Its description in RNAcentral is "HSALNT0004165". Lineage: Eukaryota; Metazoa; Chordata; Mammalia; Primates; Hominidae. The record is from RNAcentral.
UCCUGCCUGAGGAGGGGAGCGGAGAGGGAGCCUGCCCCAGAGGGAGUUCCCAGGAGUGGCCGAGGGUCAUGACUAAGAAACUGAGGAUUGCGGACUGAAGCGGUUUACUGGAAGUACAUUUAGACUCUGGGCUCAGGCAUGAAAUCCUGUAUACUUACCACCACCCCACACGACCUCCUGAUGCUGCUUAGGACUGAAAAGAAUUCGGAGAUAUGUACAAGGCUCUCUGAGGCUUCCCGGGGGUUCCGGGCUGCAA